GACGUAGGGCGCGAGCGUUGUCCGGAUUUAUUGGGCGUAAAGCGCGUGUAGGCGGUCCGGUAAGUCCGCUGUGAAAGUCGGGGGCUCAACCCUCGAAUGCCGGUGGAUACUGUCGGGCUAGAGUGCGGAAGAGGCGAGUGGAAUUCCUGGUGUAGCGGUGAAAUGCGCAGAUAUCAGGAGGAACACCAAUUGCGAAGGCAGCUCGCUGGGACGUUACUGACGCUGAGACGCGAAAGCGUGGGGAGCAAACAGG
RNAcentral lists this ribosomal RNA (253 nucleotides) under uncultured bacterium. RNAcentral describes it as "partial 16S ribosomal RNA". It matches the Rfam family "Bacterial small subunit ribosomal RNA", at positions 524 to 776 of the family's 1533-position model. The record is from RNAcentral.